AUGGGUAAGUCACACUUAGCCCUGAAACCUACGUCCGUCGCGGAUAGGGUUUCCUGGCCGCAACCUUGAGUUGCCAGGGUGCAGAAAGAAAUGCCUGCAUCUCCCGAAUCUGGAAAGGUGUCACGGUGCCACAAUU
This 136-nucleotide non-coding RNA is filed under the name Erwinia sp. RNAcentral's name for it is "MoCo sequence". It matches the Rfam family "Molybdenum/Tungsten riboswitch aptamer (Moco RNA motif)". Lineage: Bacteria; Pseudomonadati; Pseudomonadota; Gammaproteobacteria; Enterobacterales; Erwiniaceae. The record is from RNAcentral. RNAcentral also lists the same sequence under 1 other name.